GCCUAGCCCUAAACCUUGGUAAUAUAUCACAUACCCUACCCGCCUGGGAACUACGAGCACCAGCUUAAAACCCAAAGGACUUGGCGGUGCUUUAGACCCCCCUAGAGGAGCCUGUUCUAGAACCGAUAACCCCCGUUCAACCUCACCCUUCCUUGUUUAUCCCGCCUAUAUACCGCCGUCGUCAGCUUACCCUGUGAAGGCCUAAAAGUAAGCACAACUGGUACAACCCAAAACGUCAGGUCGAGGUGUAGCGCAUGGAGGGGGAAGAAAUGGGCUACAUUCCCUAUAUUAGGGAACACGAACGGCGCACUGAAACACGCGCCUGAAGGAGGAUUUAGUAGUAAGCGGAAAAUAGCGUGUUCCACUGAAAUCGGCCCUGAAGCGCGC
RNAcentral lists this ribosomal RNA (387 nucleotides) under Sebastes flavidus (yellowtain rockfish). Its description in RNAcentral is "partial 12S ribosomal RNA". It matches the Rfam family "Bacterial small subunit ribosomal RNA", at positions 794 to 1384 of the family's 1533-position model. The record is from RNAcentral. Lineage: Eukaryota; Metazoa; Chordata; Actinopteri; Perciformes; Sebastidae. RNAcentral also lists the same sequence under 3 other names.